Nelumbo nucifera (sacred lotus) is the source of this 5353-nucleotide RNA transcript. RefSeq lists it as uncharacterized. Lineage: Eukaryota; Viridiplantae; Streptophyta; Magnoliopsida; Proteales; Nelumbonaceae. The record is from RefSeq and is a predicted model, not a curated record.
UUGUGCUUCUCUCGAGAACGCAUACCCGCGUAACCCGCAGUCUUACCUGAAGUCCUCAAUUCUGUUCCUGUAUCUUCUUCCUUUCGGCAGCCAUAUACCGGUCAACCCUAACCCUAAAUUAAUUCCAUGGCGGGAGACGAAGCGGAGACUCUGAAGAGGCAUCGAAGAUCUCCCGACGAAGGAACUGAAGGGGUCUCGAAGCGCCGGAAGCACAGCCACCGACACCACCACAGCAGUAGCGGCGGCAGCCAUCAUCGUCAUCACCGUCGUCAUUGCUGCAACAAAAGUGACAAUAACAGCAAACAUGAAGAAGGCGACUUCACUUGGCCUAUUGCUAUUGUCCCAGCCUCUAAUUCAUGUCCAGAUGACGAAAAGGAAGAAGGAGAGAUUCUCGAAGAAGAAGAGGAAGGUUAUCAAAUUGGCGAUGUUGCAAUAGUAAAGAAGAAAACAGACUCUGAUAUUGAGUCCGGCGAGAUUGAGCCAGAAGAAGUCGCUGACAGAUCGGAUAAUCGAGGUCGUGAUUCGGAGAGAUUUGGUGAGUGGGACUUCAGUUCCGGUAAAGAUCAGGAAGAGCUUGAGCUAAAUCAUAAUAUGCUGACAGAGAAUAGUAUAGAAGAAAAUGCUCAAAGUUCAAAGGCCUCCAAAGAUUACAAGGUUCAUAAUACUGUUUCGGUUUUGGUUGGGGAUAGGAGAGACAAUGAUGAGUACCAGCUUCUUGAAUGCUCUGACAGGAAAGAUGUUAAGAGCACACUUUCCAAGGUUGAUAUUCUUGGAAAUUCAAGGACUGAAUGUCUGGUUUUUGAUCAGAGAAACCAUGGAGAGGCAGAAAUUGAUGGGUUAAGCUCUGAGUAUGAAGCCUUCAAAUCCAGAGAGAAGGGAGAAGGGAGACAUAGUUGCUUGUCCUCCAGAGAUGACAUGCUGAACCAUGAUAAUGGGAAUUUUAAUCACAAAUUUCAUGGAGAGGAUGAAAAACCUCAUGCAGAGCCUAUAUCCUGUCCCAAAGAAACUGGAAAGGAGAAGGAUUGCAGGAAUGUUCAGGAAAAUGUGUCAAAAAGGCAUAAUAGGUCAAGAUCUCCAGUCACUAGAGAAUAUGUGGAUUCAAGCAAGAAAAGAAAAAUAGAUGAUCAAGGGGCUAAAACUGAUUUCUGUGGGGAGACUGAAUGGCGUGAUUCAAUAAGACACAAAUCAGAGAGAUAUUUGGAAUUGAAUGACGCUGACAGAAUUGAUGCAGGGCAUAAAAUAAGAUCAACCUUUCUAUCUAAUGAUUGGUUCCACAAAAAGGUCCAUACUAGGGACAGUUCAAGGUCUCAUGGUCGUUCUAGAGAGAGAAGAUCCCCAUCCUAUAGCAUGUUGCAAGAGAAGAGUAAAACUGAUUCUGAUCAUGAAAGAGUGGUUAGAUACUGUAGUGAGGACAGACAUAGUAGUAGAGACUGGGUGAAGGACAGGGAGGAGCAGAGUAGUAGCAGUUACAGAAGAUACAGUGGGCAAGAUAAUAGGCAUGGCAGUAGAGAGACAAGAAACAAAGAUAGGAAUAGGGUUAAGGAGAGAGAUAGAGCUGGAAAAAGGGAUCCAGACUGGGAUAGGAAUAUGGAAAGAGAUAGGGAAAGGGAUAAGGAGAAGACUAGAAAUAGGGAUAGAGACAAAGGCAGAGAUAGGGAGACCCGGUGUGACAGACCCAGCAGGCAUAAUUAUGAUGGACAUGAAGAUGACUAUCAUGACCAAGAGAAGUACAAAGAGUCCAGGCAUUCAAAAUAUGAUGAAUUGGAACAGCGGGAUAGAGUAAGAACAAAAAAUGCACCAAAGGUAUCUAAUUUCAUGAAUGGUGAUUGCGAGGGACAUGAACAGAAAUUACAAAGAGAUGAAGAAGAAGACUAUGAAGAUAAGAUUGCAUUGCAACUUGUAGACCAGGAAGAGGAAGAUCUUGACAGAAUUAAGGAGAGCAGAAAAAGAAGACAAGCCAUUUUAGAAAAGUAUAAACAGCAGCAAUUACAGCAACAGGUUCUAUCUCAUUCUGAGAGCUUGGGUAAAGAGGAGAAUUAUCUCAAUGUUGAGAAGCCAUCAGAAAAGCCACCCCCUCCAAAAACUGCUGUUAAUGUACCCCCUGAAGCUGUUGAAAGUGCGAACGAAAAUUCAGAUUCCUGUGCAGUUGAUGUGUCAUUUUCUGUUGGGAAUUCACCACUGCAAAAUGGAAUUUUGGCUCAUAAGAGGACUUCUGGUGCUGUGGUACUGGGAGAUGGUUCCCCAAAGAGUGAGAGAUCAGAUGAUAUGUUCUGUGACGAUAUUUUUGGUGAGUCACCUGCUGGAAUUCGUAAGCAGGGGAAGGGAGAUGGUUUACAGAUUGAAAGGAGCGGCCUUCAUGACAACUGGGAUGAUGCAGAGGGAUACUACAGUUACCGAUUUGGAGAAAUUCUUGAUGGUAGGUAUGAAGUUACUGCUGCUCAUGGAAAAGGUGUUUUUUCUACUGUAGUUCGUGUGAAGGAUCUCAAGGCUGGGAAGGGUGAUCCAGAAGAAGUGGCCAUCAAAAUCAUACGCAAUAAUGAGACAAUGUACAAGGCAGGCAUGGAAGAACUUGUCAUAUUGAAGAAGCUAGCUGGUGCAGAUCCUGAGGACAGGAGGCAUUGUGUUCGAUUUCUCUCAAGUUUCAAGUACCGGAAUCAUUUUUGUUUAGUUUUUGAAUCUCUUCAUAUGAAUCUACGUGAAGUUCUUAAGAAGUUUGGCCGUAAUAUUGGACUUAAACUGACUGCUGUGAGGGCAUAUGCAAAGCAGCUUUUUAUUGCGGUGAAGCAUCUGAGAAACUGUGGUGUUCUGCAUUGUGACAUAAAGCCGGAUAACAUGCUGGUGAAUGAAGCAAAAAAUGUGUUGAAGCUUUGUGAUUUUGGCAAUGCCAUGUUUGCUGGUAAAAAUGAGAUUACACCAUACUUAGUCAGCCGCUUUUAUCGUGCCCCUGAAAUAAUUCUUGGUUUGCCAUAUGAUCAUCCAAUGGAUAUUUGGUCAGUUGGUUGCUGUUUAUAUGAACUUUAUUCAGGGAAGGUACUUUUUCCUGGUCCAUCGAACAAUGAUAUGCUUCGCCUCCAUAUGGAAUUAAAGGGCCCUUUUCCUAAGAAGAUGCUGCGCAAGGGUGCAUUUACUGAUCAGCAUUUUGACCAGGAUUUGAAUUUCCAUGCCACAGAAGAAGAUCCUGUUACGAAGAAGAUGGUAAAGAGGCUUUUUCUCAAUAUUAAGCCAAAAGAUAUUGGUUCCUUGAUUACAAGUUCCCUUGCUGAGGAUCCAAAGAUGUCGACAAAUUUCAAGGAUCUUCUAGAAAGGAUAUUUAUAUUGGACCCAGAAAAGAGAAUGACAGUAUCUCAAGCAUUGAGUCAUCCAUUCAUCACUGGCAAGUGAACAAAGAUGCUGAUUUUCUGACUCCAGAAAUGAUGUUAAGCUAGAUAGAUGUUAUUGGUCUCACUUUUAUAGAUCACUAAUCAUUGGGCAUUUCCCUGUCUUUUUAUCUCUCUGUGUUGGACCAAGAGCAUUUGUCAGAGAGUUAUUGCAUGGAUGAAGUGCGAAAAAGAUAAAAUGAUGAUGUUUGGUCUGGAGAUCAUCCUUCUUGACAGUUCUUUCAGUGGGAUAUUUUCAGUCUAUUGGUUUCCUCCAGUGCUGAGGCAACGAUUCAGUGCUUUAGAUGCUUAGAAGGCAACCAGAAAGAAGGCUUUUGCACUGGAGAUGAUCGGUUGCACUGCUGUGGUGAACUGUAGUUUGGUAAGUGUUUUCCCCUAGAUUUUGAAUAAUGUUCAUUAACAUGUUCUGUGCUUUUCCAUUUCUUUUGUUUCACCAUUUUUAUUAAGUACAGUGACAGCAAUAGUGAACUUAUGGUUGCUAAGUUAUCUGGAUUUGCCUGUAAGUAUUCUACUUCUCAUCUACAUUGUGAACUGCCCACCUUAAUGUGGUUCCAGUUAUAGUUUCUUUCUGAUGGUAAGUGCCAUAUGCACUUGUUCUUUAGAGUUUUCUGUUCUCUAUUUUCUUUUAGUAAAUUUUCUCAGUCUGAUGGUAAUUGUCAAUUCCCUCUUGUGUGUGCCCAUCUUUUGUUUUUCUCUUAAUGGAAGGGCUUUAUUGCUUAGGAAAACCGUUUCUGUAUUAACUUAUCAAAAAAACCUGCCUGUGGUUUGAGUUCCAGAUAUCUUGGUUGCUUGAUUUCUCAGUUUAGGGCUAUACUAGCCUGAUAUUAUAUAGAACAAGAGUGGGGCCAUGUUUGCUAUAACAGAUUGCAAUUUGAUGUGCUUACAUAUGCUAGUCUUGAUGCUUUUCUCAUUUUUUUAUAGUUCUUUUAUGUGCUUUUGUCGAGCGCCAGUACUUGCCUACUCUAGUAACAUAUCUUAUAUAAAUUUAAUUUGUUGUUUGGAAAUUAAUUUUGCAGUAUAUAGAUGUAUCAUCUGAUCAAUGAUCCGUCUGUUGAAGAGGCUGUUCUUGUUAGUGGAUCCCUUUCAUCCUUGGGUAUAUGGUGGUGCAUUAGGGAUUAUGUUGUGAUAAAAAGAGGAAAGUCAGUUAACUGAUGUCGUAAUAGCCUUAACACAAUUUUAGAAAUCAACAACUUUUUUGAACAUAAUUCACAACUCUGUCAGAUGGUAAAAUGUGAAUCACGAUUUGUUGAAUGACUCUGAUAUAAUACCAUCUAACUGGGCUACAUGGCGAAUGGUGGGUUCAGGUUUCCUUUUGUGCUAUAUUGUGUUUAUGCAGUAUUGCACUAUAACACCAAUUGACAUUGGGUUAUAUUAUUCUUCUCUUCUGAUUGGGAAGAUUAAACUGUUCUUUAAGAAGAAUAUAGAAUGUUAAUAUGAGCUACAAAUGGAUGCUUUCUUUAUAUAUUUUUUAUGAUUGCAAAUAUAAGUUUAUAUUUAAAUUUUAGGUUUAAAAGAAUUUAAUUUCAUUUAAGACCGGAUGCCCGGCCUGACAUACAUAGACUGGGCCUGGGCAAUGUGGGUAUAUCUUGUCAGGCUCAGGGCGCAGGCCAGUCUCCAAUGGCCUGUGCAUAUUAUCACUUUUCUUUUAUUUUUUUCUUGUUUUUUUCCCUCUUGUAUCAAGUUCCUUGUGUGUCUUUUAAUUAUCCUUGCUUUGAAUGCAUGAAAUGCACCGCAUUUGCUUAAUCACACAAAUGGAGAUAGUGGCACUCCUUUAUCUCUCUUCUUUCACAAUUACUUCCCUUCUAUCUCUUUAAAUUUAAUGGCUGUCAAGGUGGUGGUUGUGUUCACUUUGUUGAGCUCAUAGCACUAUAUUUGUCAUUGAAAGCUGUAAUUGUUUCCUGUCUUUUUUGCUGCUGGUUGAGGUGAAUCUCUCACCUCUCCCCAGGCCGAUUGUAUUGAUAUUUUACUGAUUCUAA